AGAAUGAACGCUGGCGGCAUGGAUUAGGCAUGCAAGUUGAACGGUAACAGAGGAGCUUGCUCCUGCUGACGAGUAGCGAAAGGGUGAGUAACACGUGAACAACCUGCCUUAAAGUCGGGGAUAGCCCUUGGAAACGAGGAUUAAUACCGGAUGUGGUUUGUUUUCCGCAUGGUUAACAGACUAAAAUUCUUUGCUUUAAGAUGGGUUCACGCUCCAUCAGCUAGUUGGUAAGGUAACGGCUUACCAAGGCGACGACGGAUAGCUGGUCUGAGAGGACGAUCAGCCACACUGGGACUGAGACACUGCCCAGACUCCUACGGGAGGCUGCAGUCGAGAAUCUUCCGCAAUGCGCGAAAGCGUGACGGAGCAAUGCCGCGUGCCGGAUGAAGGCCUUCGGGUCGUAAACGGCUGUCACUCGGGACGAAAAAAAUGACGGUACCGUGAGAGGAAGCCACGGCUAACUACGUGCCAGCAGCCGCGGUAAUACGUAGGUGGCGAGCGUUAUUCGGAUUUAUUGGGCGUAAAGGGUUCGUAGGCUGUUGUGUCAGUCUGAAGUGAAAGCCCGUGGCUCAACCACGGAACUGCUUUGGAUACUGCAUGACUAGAGUACUGGAGAGGCAAGCAGAAUUCCUGGUGUAGCGGUGGAAUGCGUAGAUAUCAGGAGGAAUACCAAUUGCGAAGGCAGCUUGCUGGACAGUUACUGACGCUGAGGAACGAAAGCUAGGGGAGCGAACAGGAUUAGAUACCCUGGUAGUCCUAGCUGUAAACGUUGUUCACUAGAUGUAGGCGGAUUGGUCCCGUCUGUGUCCAAGCUAACGUGAUAAGUGAACCGCCUGGGGAGUACGGCCGCAAGGCUA
This 857-nucleotide ribosomal RNA is filed under the name uncultured bacterium. RNAcentral's name for it is "bacterial SSU rRNA". It matches the Rfam family "Bacterial small subunit ribosomal RNA", at positions 26 to 896 of the family's 1533-position model. The record is from RNAcentral.